GAUGAUAUUGUUGAAUUCAGUACAACCAUUCUUCGAAUUGGCUGCAAGUUCGAUUUGUGUCCCAACGGGUGUUGUAGGAAUUUUGCAUCGUCAUAUUAUCUGAUGCAUUAAUCGAAUGCUGAUUUUUUUUUGUGUGUUAUUUUAAUUUUUAAAUACAUAUACAGUGUUUUUGGUAAUUUAUGACGUACAAGAAGGUUGUCUUUUGAGUAGGUUUUUCGGCCCAUUUCCGUUCUGACGUAGUCAACGACGACAUCGAAGCUCUGUGGCUCCACCAAUGGCGGCGACUACACAUCUCCUCUACCAAUCUCCGAUUCUUCCGAAAAUCCAAGCUCAACACCAAUUCACUCGGAACCCAUUUCCCAGAACCCCCAUUUUACCUCUUAAAUCGAACCUCAAGCCCCUGAAACGCCUCUCCCUCAAAGCCGCCGUCUCCCAUAACCCUGCAAAAACCCUAACCAGGGAUGCUAAUAGCGACCAGACAACCUCGUUUCACCACUGUUUCAAGAAAUCCUCAGAUGGGUUCCUCUACUGUGAGGAAACUAGGGUCCAGGACAUCAUAGAGAGCGUGGAGAAGAGACCCUUUUACUUGUACAGCAAGCCUCAGAUCACCCGGAACUUCGAGGCGUACAGUGAGGCCUUGAAAGGGUUGCGAUCAAUCAUCGGUUACGCGAUAAAAGCCAAUAACAAUCUCAAGAUUCUUGAGCAUUUGAGGGGUUUGGGUUGCGGUGCUGUUCUUGUCAGUGGAAAUGAGCUCAGGCUUGCUCUCCGAGCUGGUUUCGAUCCGGCUAAGUGCAUUUUCAAUGGAAACGGCAAGCUCUUGGAGGAUUUGGUUCUAGCUGCUCAAGAAGGCGUUUUCGUAAACGUUGAUAGUGAAUUCGACUUAGAGAACAUCGUGCAAGCUUCGAGAAUUGCUGGCAAGAAGGUCAAUGUUCUGCUUCGUAUCAAUCCUGAUGUUGACCCUCAGGUGCAUCCAUAUGUGGCUACAGGGAACAAGAACUCAAAGUUUGGUAUUAGGAACGAGAAGCUCCAGUGGUUUCUGGAUGAGGUGAAAGCUCAUCCCGAAGAGCUGAAGCUUGUUGGAGCACAUUGUCAUCUAGGAUCUACCAUUACAAAGGUGGAUAUAUUCAGAGAUGCUGCUGUCCUUAUGGUGAAAUAUAUUGAUGAAAUUCGAGCUCAAGGCUUCGAAGUCAAUUACUUGAACAUUGGUGGCGGUUUAGGGAUAGAUUAUUACCACACUGGUGCUGUCCUUCCCUCACCGAGGGAUCUCAUCGACACUGUGAGAGAGCUUGUUCUUUCACGCGACUUGAAUCUAAUAAUUGAGCCGGGAAGAUCACUUAUUGCAAACACUUGUUGUUUCGUGAACCACGUUACUGGCGUGAAAACAAACGGGACUAAGAAUUUCAUAGUGGUUGAUGGAAGUAUGGCUGAACUUAUCCGCCCGAGCCUUUACGGUGCCUAUCAGCAUAUCGAAUUGGUCUCUUCUCCGCCACAUGAGGCAGAGGUUUCCACAUUUGACAUUGUCGGUCCAGUGUGCGAAUCUGCCGAUUUCUUGGGGAAAGACAGAGAGCUUCCGACCCCUUCAAAAGGUGCCGGUCUGGUGGUUCACGACGCGGGUGCAUACUGUAUGAGCAUGGCGUCGACGUAUAAUCUCAAGAUGCGCCCUCCUGAAUACUGGGUUGAAGAAGAUGGGUCAAUCGCCAAGAUCAGGCACGGAGAGGCAUUCGAAGACCAUUUGCGUUUCUUCGAAGGUCUUUGAGCAUGACACCUCUGAGUUUUUUCCCCCCUCAGACUAGAGAGAUUCCGAAGCAGAAGCAUGUUAUUGUUUCGAAAUUCCAGUAAGUUUAUCCGUUCUUAUAUCAGUUUGGUUCGAUUUAUUCUGGUUUAAGAAUCGGAGUUUUUUCCUUGUUAAGGAUGCCCUUUGAAGAUCCUCCCUGAUAUGUUUAUUCCAACCCGUAUCUCUCAGGUAGCUGUCUGAUUGACGCCCAAAUGUCCGGAUACCACGUGUUUUCCGACUGACGAGAACAAGGAGUUAAGUUGAGAAAAGAGGCGAGAAAAUAUGUAUUCGAGACGAGAUCGAGGCGUCGGAGACAAGACGAGACGAGGCGACUGUGACUCAGAGUGAUGUAGACAAAAGUGAGGCGAGGAACACAAAACCAUGAUCCUAGACUAUGGAUGAUUAUAAGCAUCGGAGACCCAGAGUGAGUGUUGCACAGAGUGAAUUUAGACGACGGAGUUGAGAUGGGUACUUAUGGAUAGGAGUGUCAAUCGGGCCGGUCUGGCUUGACCUGACCUGAGUCCGCAUUCAAUCCGAAGGUUUUGAGUUCGGGUUCGGGUCGGUCCGAUUUUUUUCAGGCCUAUAUAACUAAGCAUGAAGUUCGGCUCUAUAUAUUCCUGCUUCGGAUCGGGUCAGGUCAGGUCGGGUUGGUCCGCAUAAUUUUCUUUGUAAAUAUCAUUUUUUUCGUUUUUCUUCUUUAAUUUUUAAAAAAAUAUUGGCGAUUCGGGCCGGUCCAAACCGGACUUGAAGCCCGAUUUGAGUCCGGCCCAAAAACCCGAUUUUUUUGGGCUAGAAAACUUAGGUACGAAGUCCGUUAAUUUUCGGGUUAGGCUUGCCGGACUUUGAGCCCCAGGCUUGGCAUACCUAGUGUGGAUAGGCUGACCGACAUUCAAAUCCAAAAUUUGACUUCGCGUUGUUGCUGAACCUAUAGUCAUUCUGUCCAUAGAUGAAUACUCGAAUUUUGAAUAUUCUAUUUGCCAAUC
Tarenaya hassleriana is the source of this 2757-nucleotide RNA transcript. It is a transcript of the gene named diaminopimelate decarboxylase 2, chloroplastic-like, with no coding region annotated. Lineage: Eukaryota; Viridiplantae; Streptophyta; Magnoliopsida; Brassicales; Cleomaceae. The transcript is spliced from 9 exons. The record is from RefSeq and is a predicted model, not a curated record.